AACGAACGCUGGCGGCAUGCCUAACACAUGCAAGUCGAACGAGACCUUCGGGUCUAUUGGCGCACGGGUGCGUAACGCGUGGGAACCUGCCCUUAGGUUCGGAAUAACUCCCCGAAAGGGGUGCUAAUACCGGAUAAUUUCUUCGGACCAAAGAUUUAUCGCCUUUGGAUGGGCCCGCGUUGGAUUAGCUAGUUGGUAGGGUAAAAGCCUACCAAGGCGACGAUCCAUAGCUGGUCAGAGAGGAUGAUCAGCCACACUGGGACUGAGACACGGCCCAGACUCCUACGGGAGGCAGCAGUGGGGAAUAUUGGACAAUGGGCGAAAGCCUGAUCCAGCAAUGCCGCGUGAGUGAUGAAGGCCUUAGGGUUGUAAAGCUAUUUUACCCGGGAUGAUAAUGACAGUACCGGGAGAAUAAGCUCCGGCUAACUCCGUG
Molecule: ribosomal RNA, 433 nt
Filed under: uncultured bacterium
Lineage: Bacteria
Description: partial 16S ribosomal RNA
Rfam family: Bacterial small subunit ribosomal RNA
Source: RNAcentral